This 1964-nucleotide long non-coding RNA is filed under the name Gossypium barbadense (sea-island cotton). Its description in RNAcentral is "long non-coding RNA (GBAR_LNC002747)". The record is from RNAcentral. Lineage: Eukaryota; Viridiplantae; Streptophyta; Magnoliopsida; Malvales; Malvaceae.
UCUAUUUGAUGAUAUCGAAAAUAUUAUAGCGAAAUAUUUGUGGCAGAAGGUACAUGGGAAAAGGGGAAUUCAUUGGUGCAAUUGGAAGAAUCUUUGUUUUUUAAAAGAAAAUGGUGGCUUAGGUUUUUGAAAUUUGAGCCAAUUUAAUAUUGCGUUAUUUGCUAAACAAGGAUGGCGUCUGAUUAAUUAUCCUAAUUCAUUACUAGCUAGGGUCUUAAAAGUAAAAUACUAUUCAAAAUCAAGUUUCUUAGAGGCUCAGUUAGGAACUUUACCUUCACUUACCUAGAAGAACAUUUGGGCAGCUAAAGGUUUCCUUCAAAAAGGUUUAUGUUGGUGAAUUAGAACGGGAAAUAAAGUCUCAUUUAGAAUGACUGUUGGAUCCAGGGGAUUGAAUCAUUAGAAAAGCAUAAUAGUUCAGACAAUAUGUAGUUAGAGUUAGUAUUGAAUCUUAUUGAUAAUGCGAAUAGGAAAUGAAGGGUAGAGUUGAUUAGUACUUUCCACUCGGAUGUUGCUCACAUAAUUUUACAGAUCCCAUUAUCAGAAUUAGAUCACGAGGACUUUCAAGUCUGGAAGGGCGAACCGACUGGUGAAUACUCAGUUCGUAGUGCCUAUAAACUAUUACAAAAUGCUAAUCUGGAUCCUAGUAAUUAUUUAUUACAAACCGAAAUUAAGAAAUUUUUUGGAAAGCUAUGGAUCCUACAGCUACCAUCUAAGAUUACAAUCAUAAUCUGGUGCAUCUCUUGGAAUUACAUUCCUACUUUGGGUAAUCUCAGAUGUAGAAGAAUAGUGAAAAAUGCCAGUUGCCCUUGUUGUAGCUACAGGGAAGAAGAUUGUUAUCACAUCUUCAGGCAAUGUCCUAUAAGCACCGAAGUCUGGCAGUUAUUAAAUCUGUCUUGGAUCACAAAUAUCAUGCACCAAAAUUUUUGGGAAUGGCUUACUGCGAUUUUCAAACAAGGAACAAACGAACAGUGAAGAUAUUUUUGUUAUGCCUUACGGUUACUUUCGUACUCAAGGAAUCAGCUUUUGCAUGAAAGGGUACAUUCCACAGGCAAAGACCUCGCACAAAAAAUUGAGAACCACAUGGCAGAAUACGAAGGGAUUAGAGCAAAGAAGAUUUUAUCAAACAUGCUACAUAAUCAAAGAACUGUGGAGGACUUACCGUUUAUGAAGAUUCAGCUUGAUGCUACAUUUGAUAACAAAGAUUUCAGAUCGGCGUCAGGACUGAUAGUCUGGGGUACGAUGAAUGAGGAUUUGGUCUCGAAAUCGAUUCUUCAUAACAAUAUUGCAUCUCCAUUCGCAGCAAAAGUAUAUGCAGGGUUAGAAGCAGUUAAGUUAGGAAUUGAAAUGGGUUUUCGGGAAAUACAAAUAUUGGGUGAUUCACUAACAGUAAUCAAGAAAUGUCAGUCAACAACAACCGAUUAUUCAAUUAUUUGAGUGAUUAUCAGAGACAUCCAAGUAAGAAAUCAUGUUUCCAGAAGCUUGAGUUCAAGCAUAUCCAGAAAAUGAAGAAUACGAGAGCCAAUAAUAUCGCGAAAGAGGUAUUGAAGAGAAGCGAGAGGGCAUACUGGAGAAUGAGAAGACGAUUCAUCACAAUGUUGGUGCAACAUAGCAAUGGUCAAGGAAUCCAGACUAGGAAGACAUAGAGAGGAUUUGGUUUUAAAGCAGAUAGCAAAGAAAUAUAUUCUUGGGUAAUGCUAUCGUCAGACGGAUGGAACAAAUGGGACAGAUAAAAUGAAACGACGAGAAGGAUUAAUGGUUUCCAGCCGUUGGAAGAUUGACUAAAAGUAGAUUAGGUUUCCUUUUUUCAAGGCAUAUUAAUUUUCUGACGAUCCAUUAUUGUUUCUGUUUCUUUUAUUAUUUCUUUAUGUUUUGAUAGUUUCCGUUUCAAAUUGUGGCAGCCCGAUUUGAUAUUUUUGGCUUGUCUUAGCAGGCCUGAAACCUUUGUUUUUUAGUUUAUAAAUACC